CACAGUUGUAUCUGGGAAGUAACCUACUUGCUUUUGAUUUUACAGGCUCAAUAGGCAGAAAGGACUUGCCUUGUCUCGUAUGACACUUUGGACUGUGGACUUUUGAGUUAAUGCUGAAAUGAGUCAAGAUUUGGGGGGACUUUUAGAAAGGCAUGAUUGGAUUUGAAAUGUGAGGACAUGAGAUUUGGGAGGGGCCAGGGGUAGAAUGAUAUGGUUUGACUGUGUCUCCACCCAAAUCUGGUCUAGAACUGUAAUAUUUCCCACAUGUCAAAGAUGACGGCCAUUGGAGAAAAUUGAAUCAUGGGGGAGGUUUCUCCCCUACUGUUCCCAUGAUAGUGAGUUCUCACAAAAUUUGAUGGUUUUAUAAACGGUAACUUCCAAGCACAAGCUUUCUUCUCAUUUCUGCUGCCAUUUUAGUCAUGCCUUUCACCUCCCACCGUGACUGUGAGGCCUCCCACCCACAUGGAACUGACUUACAGGUUGGAGGGCCUGAGAAGGUAUCUUGAUUGUGGGAAAAAGAGGAUUAAGUCAAAAGGAUUUACACCCAGCCUCAUCCUGUACUCUAAACAAUUAUUCAGCCAAAAAUGGGAAUAAACCAGUCUGAUCUCUCCGAUAUCUGAACCCUAGUGAUGUGCUGGCAUGAAUCUGGGGAGUGCUCCUUCUAUGAGACUGCAAUCACCCUGCAUUAUUCUGGGAAGGCUAUCUUUAGGUACAUCCACACUACGUUCCCAUUGGAGAAGCCCCAGUUGUGUCUCCAGUGGUGUAUCAGGGGGCAAGAAGGACUCCUUCUUUAAUACGCUUCAUGAUUGUGGAGGACACCUGCUCAUUUGGACAUCUACUGGGGCUAUCAGACUGUAGGCUGGUGAUGGGAAAUGACUGCAAGGGAUCCAGUGAUGGAACAUAUCUUCAAGUCUCCUAGCAGAGGAUACCAGCACCUGCUCUAAUGGAGGUAGCAGAAGAGUGACGCAGACUGUGUGAGAUUCCUUGGUUUUAGAUAGGCUUAAUGUGCUGACUUUCUCAAAUGCUGAUUAUAAUAGUAGUGAACUUCUCAGGUGGAGAGGCUCAGGACCUCUGGUUUGCCAGAGUGUUACAGUCAGGGGUGAUAGCUGAGAUCACACAGGUAUUUUCUCCUUCCUGGGUGCAGUUAUUCUACAGAGAGUUGCUGUAAUGGCUUGUGUUGAUUGGUGAUAUGGUUUGGCUGUGUCCCACCAAAAUCUCAUCUUGAAUCGUAGUUCCUAUAAUCCUCACACAUCCUGGGAGGGACCAGGCAGAGAUAAUUGAAUCAUGGGGGUGGUUUUCCCAAUCCUGUUCUCAUGAUAGUAAGUUAGGUUUCAUGAAAACUAAUGAUUUCAUAAGGGGUUCCCCCCUUCCCUGAGCAUUUAUUCUUCUUCCUGCUGCCAUAUGAAGAAAGGCAUGUUUGCUUCCCCUUCCAUCAUGAUUGUAAGAUUCCUGAGGCCUCCCCAGCCAUGCAGAACUGUGAGUCAAUUAAACCUUUUCCUUUAUAAAUUACCCAGUCUUGGGCAUGUAUUUAUUAGCAGCGUGAGAACAAACUAAUACAGUAAAUUGAUACCAGUAAAGUGGGGUGCUGCUAUAAGGAUACCCAAAACUGUGGAAGCAACUUUGGAACUGAGUAACAGGCAGAAGUUGGAACAGUUUGGAGGCCUCAGAAGAACACAGGAAGAUGUGGGAAAGUGUGGAACUUACUAGAGACUUGUUGAAAGGCUUUAACCAAAAUGCUGAUAGUGAUAUGGACAAGGAAGUCCAGGCUGAGACUUGUUGGGAACUGGAGUAAAGGUCACUCUUGCUAUGCAAAAAGACUGGUGGCAUUUUGCAUAUGCCCUAGAGAUCUGUGGAACUUUGAACUUGAGAGAGAUGAUUUCGGGUUUGGUGGAAGAAAUUUUUAAGUGGCAAAGGCUUCAAAAGGAAGCAGACCAUAAAAGUUUGGAAAAUUUGCAGCUUCACGAUGUGAUAGAAAAGAAAAACCCAUUUUCUGAGGAUAAAUUCAAGCCAACUGCAGAAAUUUGUAUAAGUAACGAGGAGCAAAAUGUUAAUCACAAAGACAAUGAUGUCUCCAGGGCAUGUCAAAGACCUUCACAGCCACCCCUCCCAUUAGAGGCCAGAGGCCUAGCAGGAAAAAAUGAUUUUGUGGG
Long non-coding RNA from Gorilla gorilla gorilla (western lowland gorilla), 2150 nucleotides. RefSeq lists it as uncharacterized. Lineage: Eukaryota; Metazoa; Chordata; Mammalia; Primates; Hominidae. The transcript has 5 exons. The record is from RefSeq and is a predicted model, not a curated record.